Small nucleolar RNA from Sorex fumeus (smoky shrew), 208 nucleotides. RefSeq annotates it as small nucleolar RNA U3. The transcript has a single exon. Lineage: Eukaryota; Metazoa; Chordata; Mammalia; Eulipotyphla; Soricidae. The record is from RefSeq and is a predicted model, not a curated record.
AAGACUAUUCUUUCAGUGAUCGUUUCUAUAGUUCGUUACUAGAGAAGUUUCUCUGACCAUGUAGAGCACCCAAAACCAUGAAGAGGAGCCACAGCAUCCUCUCCUGAGCGUGGAGCCAGUUCUAGGAGUUGCUUCUGCCUUUUACCAUUGACGAUGGUUCUUCUCUUCCCUUGAAAGAGGGAGAGGGAGAGGAUGCAGGCUAAGUGGU